GAUGAACGCUGGCGGCGUGCCUAAUACAUGCAAGUCGAGCGAACGGACGAGAAGCUUGCUUCUUUGAUGUUAGCGGCGGAAGGGUGAGUAACACGUGGAUAACCUACCUAUAAGACUGGGAUAACCUCGGGAAACCGGAGCUAAUACCGGAUAAUAUUUUGAACCGCAUGGUUCAAAAGUGAAAGACGGUCUUGCUGUCACUUAUAGAUGGAUCCGCGCUGCAUUAGCUAGUUGGUAAGGUAACGGCUUACAAAGGCAACGAUGCAUAGCCGACCUGAGAGAGGGAUCGGCCACACGGGAACGUGGACACGGUCCAGACUCCUACGGGAGGCAGCAGUAGGGAAUCUGCCGCAAUGGGCGAAAGCCUGACGCAGCAACGCCGCGUGAGUGAUGAAGGUCUUCGGUUCGUAAAACUCUGUUAUUGGGGAAGAACAUAUGUGUAAGUAACUGUGCACAUCUUGACGGUACCUAAUCAGAAAGCCACGGCUAACUACGUG
Molecule: ribosomal RNA, 497 nt
Filed under: uncultured bacterium
Lineage: Bacteria
Description: partial 16S ribosomal RNA
Rfam family: Bacterial small subunit ribosomal RNA
Source: RNAcentral